Anguilla rostrata (American eel) is the source of this 1938-nucleotide RNA transcript. It is a transcript of the gene named phospholamban 1, with no coding region annotated. The transcript is spliced from 2 exons. The record is from RefSeq and is a predicted model, not a curated record. NCBI's taxonomy places the organism in Eukaryota, Metazoa, Chordata, Actinopteri, Anguilliformes, Anguillidae.
GUUGGACGAUGGCCACGGGACCCCUCCCCUCCUGCCCCCAUCAUCAUCGCUCCGCUCUUCCCCCUGCUUUCCUCUCUUCCUUUCUGCCCGCCCCCUGCUCGUUCUCUUUCCCAUAAACUUUGUGACAUGCUCCACAGCGCUGCCAGACACGCUCCUCGCCCGCUGGACUGAGACCGUUUCCCACGGUGCUGCGGGAGGCUGUGACCGUCGGCGACCCGCCCGCUCGCUCGCUCUCCACCUGUCCGCCCGUCGAACCAGUUGAAUCACUUACAGCUUCAGCCAGGGUGAAAGACCAGGAGGAUGGUAUAGACCUGCCCUGCAGCUCCCCCCUCUUCACCAAGCUCAGAGCGUGACAAGCUUCUCCACAGCGCCCUCCAGUGGAGCCCCCCAGCCAGCGCAGCCCUUCCACCAUGGAUCUGGUCAACAACCGAGGCCUGAACCUCAUGCUCAACUUCCUCCUCAUCGUGGUGGUGCUGCUCCUCAUGCUCAUCCUGGUCAAGCUCAUGUGAGCCGGGCCCCGCCCUCAAAACCACAGUCAUGACUUAACUCAGCCGGCGAGACCUGGGGACCUGAGCAUAACGAUGCCCACCAGCAGGGGGAGCUGCACUGACUCAAACACUGUAAGGCCGGGUCCAUAGUGAAAAGCCAGAGGACCUCGGGAAUGGCUUUCUCCAGGAUGUGUGGGAGCUUACUGAGCCCCACAGGGAGGUAAUAUUAGGCAUCACUUCGGCAUCACCCUCAUCAAAAUUUUACGGAUCGACAUUAACCGAGAUCAGAGAUUAAAAGAGUUUGCAAUGAACGACCUAUAAGCCUUGGUGAUAACAUUAGCGUAUAAUUACGGGAUAUAAACCCGUGCGAUUUAUUCACAGCUGCGUCAACAGUGUUUUCAAACUGAAAAACACAUCACCAAUGCAAGUGACUCCAUCUAGUGGCAAACAGGUUAACUGCAUGAAAUGCAUUCAUGCCCGUUGAUUAUAUAAACGACUGCCAGUUACAUCUGUUCUAAAUAAUUUGCAUUUAGUAAGGCUAUUCCAAUCAAAUCUUAUCUUUUGUUGGUUUUCAGUGCUCCCAUCAAGCACUUUCAAUCACAGAAAUAAUAAUGUAAAAUGCUAACCAAAAGUCAUCGAGUAUACAUGGAACAAAACAAAAUUGUCACAGCUGUAGCAUAAUGGCAGCCCUUGCUGUACAGUGUAAGCUUUCUGUAAUGGCGCCCUGAGCGACAACUGAGGCACUUAUGCUAUAUGACAGCCUCACGCUAAGUUGGGUCCUUUAGGGAAAAGUGUGCAGUGCAUAUACUCAGUCACAACUUUCACACUAUUUGUACUCACGGUGGAAAAGAUUUUUCUUUGGCACACCUAGUGCUCUGUUCUCUUAAUAGCAUUGCAUAUUCAUGUGUGAACAAACAUGCUAACUGUGGUUCAGCCCUGUUCUUCUGCAUGUUGAUAUGUCGGUUACCAUAUCCGUUACCUUGAGAAACGGGGCUCCUGUACCCCAAUUACUUUUUGGACACAUAAAAUGGACAAAUGCUGCAAUCCUCUGGGAAAAUAUUGAUCUGUACCAAAUUGUUAAAUAAGAGAAAAUAUGACAAUUUGUUCUGUAUAUCUACAAUGCUAGCGAUGCGGGCAAAGUUUUAAAAGUAAAACGCUACCUGACCUUCCAAAUAUUUUCUUCCAAUCCAAAUGACAAAGACAGUCAGACCACUGAAAGGGACUCAGGUCAGCCAGGUAAUGCUCUCCUUAAAAUCACACAUCACCCUGAUUAAUGUUUAUACAUAUUUAACAGGUAUAUAUCUACAUGCAGAGCACCGUUAAGUUCUUGUUGUGUUUGUGAUGUUCAUUUCAGUUUUUUGCACCAUGUAUGAUUCUUGCAAGAUUCUUGCGAGAUGAGUUUGCUCUUGGGUAUAAGGACAAAUAAAUUUCAGCUAUAAAAACAUAAAAA